RNAcentral lists this transfer RNA (72 nucleotides) under Camelus ferus (Wild Bactrian camel). It matches the Rfam family "tRNA". From Rfam's summary of the family: Transfer RNA (tRNA) molecules are approximately 80 nucleotides in length. Their secondary structure includes four short double-helical elements and three loops (D, anti-codon, and T loops). Further hydrogen bonds mediate the characteristic L-shaped molecular structure. tRNAs have two regions of fundamental functional importance: the anti-codon, which is responsible for specific mRNA codon recognition, and the 3' end, to which the tRNAs corresponding amino acid is attached (by aminoacyl-tRNA synthetases). tRNAs cope with the degeneracy of the genetic code in two manners: having more than one tRNA (with a specific anti-codon) for a particular amino acid; and 'wobble' base-pairing, i.e. permitting non-standard base-pairing at the 3rd anti-codon position. The record is from Rfam by way of RNAcentral. Lineage: Eukaryota; Metazoa; Chordata; Mammalia; Artiodactyla; Camelidae.
GGGGAUAGAGCUCAGUGGUAGAGCUCAUGCUUAGCAUGUACAGGGUCCUGGGUUCAAUCCCCAGCACCUCCA